CUCUUUCUCUCUCUAAUUUUUCUUGCACUCCGCGACGACUUAUCUUCGUCUCUGCAUAUCAUUAUAUUAUGUUCAUGUGGAUUCAGAAAAAUGAAAGAAAACAAAGUUGAGGAUUUUCAAAAUUGUUCUUGCAAGCAAAAUUUUUGGGGUUUUGUUAUGAUGUUUUGUACAGCCAAAAAGUUUGAUUAUUUUCAAGACGCGAGAAUGGAUGAAAGCUUAAUAGCAUCAAAUAAGCAUGAAAGAGAGAGUGUAUAACUAUCAUCCUUUGCAAAAGGUGACAAAGAUUGAAGAAGGGUCUUCAAAAACGCACAAGACAGUUCAAAGCUCAGCAAUUUAUUGUUCGAGUGUUGAGUCUUUUAGUUUCGACUCUUGAGCGUACUAGAUCACAACAUCGAUUUAAUUCUUUUGUUGUUGUAUAAUCUUUUUGGAGACAAAGAGCAAAAUUUAGACAAUUUUUAGA
Papaver somniferum (opium poppy) is the source of this 460-nucleotide long non-coding RNA. RefSeq lists it as uncharacterized. Lineage: Eukaryota; Viridiplantae; Streptophyta; Magnoliopsida; Ranunculales; Papaveraceae. The transcript has 3 exons. The record is from RefSeq and is a predicted model, not a curated record.